UGUCUUGCUGUGGUGCACCCUGGGCAGGGGUCCCUCAUCGGGCUCUAUGUGAGGCCUGAGUAUUGCUGCCUGCCCCUGGCACUAGCUUCUUUGGCUCUGCGAGCCAGGUUUCUUCCAACACGUGGGUGCUGGUGUCUGGCCUGCUCCAGGUUUUGCUGGGGCAGAAGUUUGGUGCGUUUCUCUGCUUAGCUGUCUGUCUUGGCACAGGCUCUCCCACCAGUGCUGGGAACGGGUUGUCAUGUCCGUGUGCCUUCCUGUUUGCCUUGUUGUCUUCCAUGUCACUGCAGCAUUUCUCUGCUUUUCCCAGAACUAGCAGGAGACCUGUGUUUGCACAUCUAAAUUGCUUCCCUCGCUUGCUGUGGGAAAGCCCUAAGAGGACUCUGCCUGCACCCUCACAGCUAUGGCGGGGGGGGGAUUAAAAAAAAAAAAAAAAGGUGCCCGUGGGGUCUUGGCAGGGUGGGGCCACUGUCCCCAGUGCGGUGAGGGCUCUGAGUUGUUGAUAGUGGCAAUUGCCUUUUCUUUGUCUCUGUAUGUGUGUGGAGGAGCCAUCUUCCGAAGGCUUGAGGGCUGUGAAGCAGACACUGUGAAGAUGAAGUGAACAGUCCCAGAGAUGGUGCUCGAGGAAAUGGGCAGCCUUGUCGUGACUUCCUGACUUGUGUGAUGUGAGGCCUCUUCCCCUGUGGCAUGACCUGGCUGGACUCCUGGGGAGGUUUUGUGUGUGUAGCUUCGCAGGCGGUGCAUCUCUGCUCCCACUUCCUGCUGUGAGGACACCUGGUAAGGAGCAGCAUGAUUGUGGCUGGCUGUGUGGCCUCAAUGUUGUGGGGGAGAGGAAUAGAAGUGAGUUUUCUACAGUGGUGGUAGAAGAUGGAGGAACUGGAUCCUGAAAGGUGGGCUGGGUUAAAGUGGGAGGCUGGGUUGCGUUUUCCCUGGUCGUAUUUGGGUGGGGGAGGAAACCCCUAGUGUGUGAUGGGGUCUGGAGCUCCGUGCUGUCUGGGGAGUGAUGCUGAAGCAGGGAAUUGUGGCCCUUAGGGAUGCUGCAGAGCAGGGUGGGUAAGCCUGAUUUUGGUUUAGCUUGGUGUUGAGUCCUGACUGCUUGUAAAGGCUGGAAAUUGUCCUUGAGUAUAUUAGGGGUUUCAGUGUUUGCCCCUGGCUUCUGGGUGCAGAUCAUGGCAUUGGAUGUGCUGGGGCAGAGGAGUGGGUGCGUGCGCCUCCGCCUCUGCCUGGCUGUUGUUGCUGCCACUGCUCUCCCUUCAGUUCUGGGAAGUGCGCUCUGUCCUAUGUCUCUGGUUGUGUCACUGGUGUUUCUUUCUACUUUGAUAUCUAAAAUCACAGCAGCACUUCUUUCUUUGCUCUUCCCAGAGCUGGAAGGAUAGGUGUGUUUGCAUAUAAAUUGAUCCCCUCCUUUGGGUGGGCUUUGACUGCACCCUGUGUGCCUCAUGUGCGGGUGGGGGUGUUAUGCUUUUGGUGUCCUAGAUUGCAGGGGGGAGGGCAUUGUGUCUGUGCUGUCAGUACUAUGAGGUGUGAAUACUGUUGUGUGUAGUAAUUGCUUGUUGUUUUGGGUGUGAUGUCAAUGUGUGGAGUGUGAGCUGAGGUGAAGAGACCUAGAGCCAGUGCUACGUAGAAGCAGGUGGUCGUGCAGCCAUGCUCACUUCUGGGUGACCUGGAGGGAGGCCUCUGCCCGUUCGGUGGAGCUGUGUGCAUGGGCAGAGCCUGCAGUGGGUAGGAUGUUACUUGGAGCGGUG
This is a long non-coding RNA of Alligator sinensis (Chinese alligator), 1742 nucleotides long. RefSeq lists it as uncharacterized. The transcript is spliced from 3 exons. Lineage: Eukaryota; Metazoa; Chordata; Crocodylia; Alligatoridae. The record is from RefSeq and is a predicted model, not a curated record.